Molecule: long non-coding RNA, 817 nt
Filed under: Salvia miltiorrhiza (redroot sage)
Lineage: Eukaryota; Viridiplantae; Streptophyta; Magnoliopsida; Lamiales; Lamiaceae
Description: long non-coding RNA (SMIL_LNC004814)
Source: RNAcentral
CAAUGAUCUGAGCGUGCACUUCCUUUUUUCCUUUUCUUUGAUACACCACUUUGAGAUCCGGUUUCUAUUGUUGCUUCCCCGUCUUCGCCGAUAGGAAUAUCCUCUAACCCAUCAUCAUCCAUAUCAUCAUUCAUAUCAAUAGCGUCUUCCUCAACACGAUUACUAUUGCGAGAAGAUGCCAUAACAAUGUAGCAAACUACAAAAUAAGUAAACACACUCAUUUAGUCAUUUAGAAGAUAUAGUGCACAAAUGAAAUCACCAAUGUGUAUCAAUACAAACCCAAUAUGAAAGGAACCAAUCAAUGAAUCAAACAUUCAAACAUAACUAUGUAGUGGUUUCCAUGUUAAAGUAUUGAAUUGUAAACAUCAUAUUAAUCAAAUAUUCAAAUCUUCUUUCUCAAAGGAACCAAUCACCAAUGUGUAUUCAAAUAUAUAUGGAUAUUCUCACGCAUAUCAAUAUAUCAUCAUUUCAUUUUCUCAAUGCACAGUAUAUACUAUAUAUGUAUGUAAAAGUAAAACACAUAAUCCCAAGAUGGCAAUUGGCAAGAUAUGUAGUGGAUCCACAAUUAACUGAGGAGGGCCAUUUUUUUAUUGCAUUUAUACAACUUUAUUGUAAUCCAUUAGCAAGUUGCAUUUGAACCAAAUAUAACAAGAAUUCAUGGACUAUGAUGUAUACAAUUGCAACUGUGGGAGAGUUAGAAUUCUGUAUUCAUAUAAAAGCAUAUCACCACAGUGAAGAAAGUUGAAACAGAGGAAGAUUCAGAAGAAGAAGAAGAAGAAUCGUACCUGGGGAGUGGGGACGGCUGGCGGCGUCUGCU